UUGGCUCUUUAAACCCCUGUCCUAUUUGGAAUGGACGAUGAGCGAAGACCCCAAAAGGAACAGAAAGUCCAAUGUGCUGAGCUUCUACUGUGGUCCAACACCACACUUGGCAUUU
RNAcentral lists this small nucleolar RNA (115 nucleotides) under Echinops telfairi (small Madagascar hedgehog). Its description in RNAcentral is "Small nucleolar RNA SNORA14 (ENSETEG00000025220.1)". The record is from RNAcentral. Lineage: Eukaryota; Metazoa; Chordata; Mammalia; Afrosoricida; Tenrecidae.